RNAcentral lists this ribosomal RNA (431 nucleotides) under uncultured bacterium. RNAcentral describes it as "bacterial SSU rRNA". It matches the Rfam family "Bacterial small subunit ribosomal RNA", at positions 29 to 507 of the family's 1533-position model. The record is from RNAcentral.
AACGAACGCUGGCGGCAGGCUUAACACAUGCAAGUCGAGCGCCCCGCAAGGGGAGCGGCAGACGGGUGAGUAACACGUGGGAAUCUACCCUUUGGUACGGAACAACUCCGGGAAACUGGAGCUGAUACCGUAUGUGUCCUUCGGGAGAAAGAUUUAUCGCCAAAGGAUGAGCCCGCGUCGGAUUAGCUAGUUGGUGUGGUAAUGGCGCACCAAGGCGACGAUCCGUAGCUGGUCUGAGAGGAUGACCAGCCACAUUGGGACUGAGACACGGCCCAAACUCCUACGGGAGGCAGCAGUGGGGAAUAUUGGACAAUGGGCGCAAGCCUGAUCCAGCCAUGCCGCGUGAGUGAUGAAGGCCUUAGGGUUGUAAAGCUCUUUCACCCACGACGAUAAUGACGGUAGUGGGAGAAGAAGCCCCGGCUAACUUCGUG